This 635-nucleotide long non-coding RNA is filed under the name Trifolium pratense (red clover). RNAcentral describes it as "long non-coding RNA (TPRA_LNC014387)". The record is from RNAcentral. Lineage: Eukaryota; Viridiplantae; Streptophyta; Magnoliopsida; Fabales; Fabaceae.
UUGUGGAGCUGUGGUUCUUCUGCUUUAUGAAGGGAGAAUAUGUUAUGGAAGAGCUUUGCCGGAGAACAGAGACGGUGAGCGAAGGGGCGGCGACGGAGAGAUGAAUUGAUGCACGAAGAAGAAAAGAAUGCGUAUUAGAGAGAAAGAAGAAACGCCUUAUUUAAUUCCAGCCUUUAGAUUUGUUUUUGCCACAUGUCACAAAUCUAACAAUGAACCGGAGGGAAAUGCCUAAGGAAAUGGAGUGGACCUGAACUCAUUCCAUAUACACUAAAGGUUAGUUUUUGAAUAAAUUAUAAAAUUUUAAUAAGAAAGAUAAGGUUCUUUGGUCCAUGUGUUUUUUCUAAAUUAUUCCUUAUAAAAAGGGCCGGAGAGAGUAGUAUAUAUUUAAGAUACAUUAAUUAUAUUAUGGGGCCAAAUCUAACAUGCACAACCACAUUAAGUAGUGUAUGGUGCACAAGUUAGUGUUAUCGUUAUAACGAAUACGAAUUUUACAAAAUCUAUCGUUGGAUUGAAAGUUUGUAUCAUAUAGAUCAUCUAUAUCAAAUUUUAAAAAAAUUGACAAUUAUUUGAUAUGUCAUUGAGACUCGUCAAGAUUAACGGUUUAUGAGUUUUUAUUAUUAAAUUACACAUCAAAU